GUUUGACCCCCCGAAACCAGGCGAGCUACUUCUAAACAGCCACAAGCCAACCCUUCUCCGUCGCAAAGGAGUGGGAAGAUUUAAAAGUAGAGGCGACACACCUACCGAGCCUGGAGAUAGCUGGUUAUUUAGGAAAAGGAUUUAAGUCCACCUCUAAGUUUUUUUAGCAUACUCAGACAAAAAUAAACUUACAAGUCAUUCAAAUAAGGUACAGCCUACUUGAAUAAGGAAACAGCCUACAACACAGGGUAAUGUUCACCCCCGUGACUAGGUGGGCCUAAAAGCAGCCAACCCUCAAAAAGCGUCCAAGCUUCAUCACUACAACAAUUAAUCCCAUCAUUAACCCACAACCCCCAACCACUACUAAAUAACCCCAUACACAUAUGGGAGAUAUUAUGCUAGAACUAGUAACAAGAAGAAGCACUUCUCCUAGAUAAAAGCUUAAGCCACAGUGAACCGUUCGCCGGCAAUUACCGCCACUAAC
This 484-nucleotide ribosomal RNA is filed under the name Anodonthyla theoi. Its description in RNAcentral is "partial 16S ribosomal RNA". The stretch from base 1 to 402 matches the Rfam family "Bacterial large subunit ribosomal RNA", at positions 705 to 1300 of the family's 2925-position model. Lineage: Eukaryota; Metazoa; Chordata; Amphibia; Anura; Microhylidae. The record is from RNAcentral.